GACGAACGCUGGCGGCGUGCUUAACACAUGCAAGUCGAACGGAAAGGCCCUGCUUGCAGGGUACUCGAGUGGCGAACGGGUGAGUAACACGUGGGUGAUCUGCCCUGCACUUCGGGAUAAGCCUGGGAAACUGGGUCUAAUACCGGAUAGGAGCCAUUUUUAGUGUGAUGGUUGGAAAGUUUUUUCGGUGUAGGAUGAGCUCGCGGCCUAUCAGCUUGUUGGUGGGGUAAUGGCCUACCAAGGCGGCGACGGGUAGCCGGCCUGAGAGGGUGGACGGCCACAUUGGGACUGAGAUGCGGCCCAGACUCCUACUGGAGGCAGCAGUGGCGAAUAUUGCACAAUGGGCGCAAGCCUGAUGCAGCGACGCCGCGUGGGGGAUGACGGCCUUCGGGUUGUAAACUCCAUUCGCUAGGGACGAAGCUUUUUGUGACGGUACCUAGAUAAGAAGCACCGGCUAACUACGUG
This 465-nucleotide ribosomal RNA is filed under the name uncultured bacterium. RNAcentral describes it as "partial 16S ribosomal RNA". It matches the Rfam family "Bacterial small subunit ribosomal RNA", at positions 28 to 507 of the family's 1533-position model. The record is from RNAcentral.